ACCAUGGCCAGCCCGCUGCGCUCCUUGAUGCUACUGCUGGCCGUCCUGGCCGUGGCCUGGGCCGGAACCUCCAGGCCACCCCCGCGAUUGUUGGGAGCUCCGCAGGAGGCAGAUGCCAGCGAGGAGGGCGUGCAGCGAGCGUUGGACUUCGCCGUAAGCGAGUACAACAAGGGCAGCAACGAUGCGUACCACAGCCGCGCCAUACAGGUG
This 210-nucleotide long non-coding RNA is filed under the name Rattus norvegicus (Norway rat). RNAcentral describes it as "long non-coding RNA NONRATT019765". Lineage: Eukaryota; Metazoa; Chordata; Mammalia; Rodentia; Muridae. The record is from RNAcentral.